UACAGAGGGGGCAAGCGUUGUUCGGAAUUACUGGGCGUAAAGGGCGCGUAGGCGGCCAUCUAAGUCAGACGUGAAAUCCCCCGGCUUAACCUGGGAACUGCGUCUGAUACUGGACGGCUCGAGUAUGGGAGAGGGAUGUAGAAUUCCAGGUGUAGCGGUGAAAUGCGUAGAUAUCUGGAGGAACACCGGUGGCGAAGGCGGCAUCCUGGACCGGUAUUGACGCUGAGGCGCGAAAGCCAGGGGAGCAAACGGG
Molecule: ribosomal RNA, 253 nt
Filed under: uncultured bacterium
Lineage: Bacteria
Description: partial 16S ribosomal RNA
Rfam family: Bacterial small subunit ribosomal RNA
Source: RNAcentral